UCCUUGACGAUGUCGUGGGAUGCCAGG
Molecule: non-coding RNA, 27 nt
Filed under: Bombyx mori (domestic silkworm)
Lineage: Eukaryota; Metazoa; Arthropoda; Insecta; Lepidoptera; Bombycidae
Source: RNAcentral